This 217-nucleotide long non-coding RNA is filed under the name Ricinus communis (castor bean). RNAcentral's name for it is "long non-coding RNA (RCOM_LNC000775)". The record is from RNAcentral. Lineage: Eukaryota; Viridiplantae; Streptophyta; Magnoliopsida; Malpighiales; Euphorbiaceae.
AGAGAGGUGGAAAGGAGAAGCAGGGCUCGAAGAACGAGCCGAGCCAUGCAAGAACAAGGGGAUAUAGCAAGUAAGCAGUAAGGUUCUCCUUUUAGCCUUUAGGACCGACUACAACAAGCUCGCGACUCUAAUAAAUAGAAAGGGUAAGCUCUCUGCUCUAUUUGCUUGCAAUGCUAUAUCUAUCAAACAAAGUUGGCGAACGCUUCUUUAACCUUAU